Microtus oregoni (creeping vole) is the source of this 305-nucleotide long non-coding RNA. RefSeq lists it as uncharacterized. Lineage: Eukaryota; Metazoa; Chordata; Mammalia; Rodentia; Cricetidae. The transcript is spliced from 3 exons. The record is from RefSeq and is a predicted model, not a curated record.
UGAGGGCUCACUUCCUGGCUUGCAGGCUUCAAGAGACAGAGGGAACUCCGGUUUCUCCUCAGAAGGCUAACCCCAUCACAAGAGCUCCAGGUACUCAUUGAACCUAGAGCCCAUGGGUUCAGCUCGGCGGCUGGCCAAGGAGCUUUGGGAUCUUCCUCUCUCUUCCCCACCCUAGAGCUGGGAUUAGACUUCUGAAGCUGCACAUCUUUCUCAGCCUCCGCUCCAUCGAUAACUACUCCUGGCCGCGUGAGAGACACUUGCCUGGCAGUUCCUGAGAGAUUCACAGCGCGCCACCUGUAUACCCC